UACAGAGGGUGCUAGCGUUGUUCGGAAUCAUUGGGCGUAAAGGGUGCGUAGGCGGGGCUUUAAGGCAGGGGGGAAAUCCUGGAGCUCAACUCCAGAACUGCCUUUGAUACUGAAGAUCUUGAGUUCGGGAGAGGUGAGUGGAACUGCGAGUGUAGAGGUGAAAUUCGUAGAUAUUCGCAAGAACACCAGUGGCGAAGGCGGCUCACUGGCCCGAUACUGACGCUGAGGCACGAAAGCGUGGGGAGCAAACAGG
RNAcentral lists this ribosomal RNA (253 nucleotides) under uncultured bacterium. Its description in RNAcentral is "partial 16S ribosomal RNA". It matches the Rfam family "Bacterial small subunit ribosomal RNA", at positions 524 to 776 of the family's 1533-position model. The record is from RNAcentral.